GAUGAACGCUGGCGGCGUGCCUAAUACAUGCAAGUCGAGCGAACGGACGAGAAGCUUGCUUCUCUGAUGUUAGCGGCGGACGGGUGAGUAACACGUGGAUAACCUACCUAUAAGACUGGGAUAACUUCGGGAAACCGGAGCUAAUACCGGAUAAUAUUUUGAACCGCAUGGUUCAAAAGUGAAAGACGGUCUUGCUGUCACUUAUAGAUGGAUCCGCGCUGCAUUAGCUAGUUGGUAAGGUAACGGCUUACCAAGUCAACGAUGCAUAGCCGACCUGAGAGGGUGAUCGGCCACACUGGAACUGAGACACGGUCCAGACUCCUACGGGAGGCAGCAGUAGGGAAUCUUCCGCAAUGGGCGAAAGCCUGACGGAGCAACGCCGCGUGAGUGAUGAAUGUCUUCGGAUCGUAAAACUCUGUUAUUAGGGAAGAACAUAUGUGUAAGUAACUGUGCACAUCUUGACGGUACCUAAUCAGAAAGCCACGGCUAACUACGUG
RNAcentral lists this ribosomal RNA (497 nucleotides) under uncultured bacterium. Its description in RNAcentral is "partial 16S ribosomal RNA". It matches the Rfam family "Bacterial small subunit ribosomal RNA", at positions 28 to 507 of the family's 1533-position model. The record is from RNAcentral.